CACCAGCACGCCUUCCGUUCCACCCCGUCAGCCCCACAGGCCCGCCACGCUCCCUCGCCCAACGGUUCUCCUCGCGGCGGCGGUGGCCGCCGCCUCUGCUGCUGCUUCCCCCCCACACACACACACACUCCCCCGUCACGGACGGCACCCACCUUGUCGAGACAGUUCACCUUCUCGGUCGGGUAGACGAUCUUGCUGCAGCGGGCGCAGCUGGGGUUCAUGGUAGCCGCAGCGGGUUCUAGGGAACCAUGCACCAAGCAAAAAGGAAGCACCAGGACACUGGGGAAGAGGAAGCAGCAUAUAAUUUCUGUGACAUUUCAAGCUUACUGAACUUCUGCAGCAUUCCUCAUCACCACCACUUCUGUCAAGACUCCUGUGGAAUAAACUGUGAUUUGAAUGUCAGUGUCUCCUUGUUUUCUGAAUAAAUAACUUCCUUAAAUUGUA
Long non-coding RNA from Hemicordylus capensis (graceful crag lizard), 444 nucleotides. RefSeq lists it as uncharacterized. NCBI's taxonomy places the organism in Eukaryota, Metazoa, Chordata, Lepidosauria, Squamata, Cordylidae. The record is from RefSeq and is a predicted model, not a curated record. The transcript has 3 exons.